CCUGCAUGUACCGUAUGAAUAAGCAUCGGCUAACUCCGUGCCAGCAGCCGCGGUAAUACGGAGGAUGCGAGCGUUAUCCGGAUUUAUUGGGUUUAAAGGGUGCGUAGGCGGCCUGUUAAGUCAGCGGUGAAAUCUAGGAGCUUAACUCCUAAAUUGCCAUUGAUACUGGCGGGCUUGAGUGUAGAUGAGGUAGGCGGAAUGCGUGGUGUAGCGGUGGAAUGCAUAGAUAUCACGCAGAACUCCGAUUGCGAAGGCAGCUUACUAAGGUACAACUGACGCUGAAGCACGAAAGCGUGGGUAUCAAACAGGAUUAGAUACCCUGGUAGUCCACGCUGUAAACGUGAAACUCAAAGGAAUUGACGGGGGCCCGCACAAGCGGAGGAACAUGUGGUUUAAUUCGAUGAUACGCGAGGAACCUUACCCGGGAUUGAAAUGUAGAUGACCGCUCCUGAAAGGGAGUUUUCCUUCGGGACAUCUAUGUAGGUGCUGCAUGGUUGUCGUCAGCUCGUGCCGUGAGGUGUCGGCUUAAGUGCCAUAACGAGCGCAACCCCUGUCUACGGUUGCCAUCAGGUAAUGCUGGGAACUCCGUAGAGACUGCCGUCGUAAGGCGUGAGGAAGGUGGGGAUGACGUCAAAUCAGCACGGCCCUUACAUCCGGGGCGACACACGUGUUACAAUGGUAAGGACAAAGGGCAGCUACCUGGCGACAGGAUGCGAAUCUCCAAACCUUAUCACAGUUCGGAUCGGAGUCUGCAACUCGACUCCGUGAAGCUGGAUUCGCUAGUAAUCGCGCAUCAGCCAUGGCGCGGUGAAUACGUUCCCGGGCCUUGUAC
This 832-nucleotide ribosomal RNA is filed under the name human oral metagenome. RNAcentral's name for it is "bacterial SSU rRNA". It matches the Rfam family "Bacterial small subunit ribosomal RNA", at positions 468 to 1386 of the family's 1533-position model. The record is from RNAcentral.